UAAACAACUGGCGGCCUCUUACCAUGCAAGUCGAGCGGUAAGGCCCUUCGGGGUUACACGAGCGGCGAACGGGUGAGUAACACGUGAGCAACCUGCCCCCGACUCCGGGAUAAGCGGUGGAAACGCCGUCUAAUACCGGAUACGACCGGCCACCUCAUGGUGGCUGGUGGAAAGUUUCUCGGUUGGGGAUGGGCUCGCGGCCUAUCAGCUUGUUGGUGGGGUAAAGGCCUACCAAGGCGAUUACGGGUAGCCGGCCUGAGAGGGCGACCGGCCACACUGGGACUGAGACACGGCCCAGACUCCUGCGGGAGGCAGCAGUGGGGAAUAUUGCGCAAUGGGCGAAAGCCUGACGCAGCGACGCCGCGUGGGGGAUGACGGCCUUCGGGUUGUAAACCUCUUUUACCACCAACGCAGGCUCCCAGUUCUCUGGGGGUUGACGGUAGGUGGGGAAUAAGGACCGGCUAACUACGUGCCAGCAGCCGCGGUAAUACGUAGGGUCCGAGCGUUGUCCGGAAUUAUUGGGCGUAAAGAGCUCGUAGGCGGCGUGUCGCGUCUGCUGUGAAAGACCGGGGCUUAACUCCGGUUCUGCAGUGGAUACGGGCAUGCUAGAGGUAGGUAGGGGAGACUGGAAUUCCUGGUGUAGCGGUGAAAUGCGCAGAUAUCAGGAGGAACACCGGUGGCGAAGGCGGGUCUCUGGGCCUUACCUGACGCUGAGGAGCGAAAGCAUGGGGAGCGAACAGGAUUAGAUACCCUGGUAGUCCAUGCCGUAAACGUUGGGCGCUAGGUGUGGGGACUUUCCACGGUUUCCGCGCCGUAGCUAACGCAUUAAGCGCCCCGCCUGGGGAGUACGGCCGCAAGGCUAAAACUCAAAGGAAUUGACGGGGGCCCGCACUAGCGGGCGGAGCAUGUUGCUUAUUUCGACGCACGCGAAGAACCUUACCAAGGUUUGACAUCACCCGUGGACCUGCAGAGAUGUGGGGUCAUUUAGUUGGUGGGUUGACAGGUGGUGCAUGGCUGUCGUCAGCUCGUGUCCGUGAGAUGUUGGGUUAAGUUCCCGCACCGAGCGCAACCCCUUAUUCCUUGUUGCCAGCACCUAUGGUGGGGGACUCAUGGGAGAACUGCCCGGGU
Molecule: ribosomal RNA, 1128 nt
Filed under: Nocardiopsis sp.
Lineage: Bacteria; Bacillati; Actinomycetota; Actinomycetes; Streptosporangiales; Nocardiopsidaceae
Description: bacterial SSU rRNA
Rfam family: Bacterial small subunit ribosomal RNA
Source: RNAcentral